This is a non-coding RNA of Cricetulus griseus (Chinese hamster), 1661 nucleotides long. NCBI's taxonomy places the organism in Eukaryota, Metazoa, Chordata, Mammalia, Rodentia, Cricetidae. The record is from RefSeq and is a predicted model, not a curated record.
GCUUGGCAAUCUUCUCACCUCUUUCUCGGCCCUAGGGGUCAGUCUGAGGGAGCCUCUGAGAGCAGAGCUGAAAUGGGUUUCAACCUGUGCAGUUUUCUUGAACAUGCUUUUUUGAGAAUUUUAAUCUCUUCUGACAGCUAAGUAGGAAUCAAAGUGUGGUGUUCAUGAUGGUGAACUGGGAGAGAUGGGCACUUAGUGCCUGGCAUCCACUGAGCACUACAUAAGUCCUUGACACUGGUGGAAUUAUGUCCAAAUUGGUUCUCCAGGUAAGAAUCUUUAAAAUUUGCUUUCUUAUUUGUGAGGGCAGACUAGUUAAAAAGCAGAUAAUGUAAUCUGUAAAUCUACCUCACUGAACUCUCAGUGACUCUUUUGCUGAAGAAGAGUCAUUUUCUAUUUUCCUCACGGGACCUGGGUACAGUUCAUGCCAAGAGGCCACCAGAUAGGUGUGCCAAGUGAGUGUGUUGAUCCAUGCCAGCAAUUCUUAAUGCUUCUUCUUUUUUACAAAAAGUAAAUAUGUAUGUGUGCUUAUUUGUGUAUAUGUAUGCAUUCAAAUACACAUAAGUAUAUGAGCAUAUGUAUGUAUGUGCAUAUGUAUGUUUGUAUAUGUAAGUAUGCAUGCAUAUGUAGGUACACACAUAUGAACAUGCACAUACAUUUAUAAACAGGAAAGUAUGUGUUUUUGCAUAUAUGCCCAUUUGUCUAAGAGUAUGUGCAUGCAUAGAUUUUAAUGAAUCCAGAUCUGUGUAUAGGUACAUAUGUAUUUAUUUGUAUACAUGUAUAUACUGGUGCAUCUAUGUAUUGUAUAUACAUAAACAUGCACAAGUUUUGUGAGUAUGUAUAUAUAAAUUAUGUAUGUAUAUAUGUAUGUAUGUAUAUAUGUGUGUAUGUAUGUAUGUAUAGUAGAAUCCAAGUACACUAAUAUCUUCUUACCCCUUAAUGGAUUUUCUGUAUUUCUUGUGAUGUGCUCAGUCACUUCUGUUUUGUGACACAGUUUCACCAUGUAGUCUUGGCUGGCCUGUUGCAGAGAUGCACCUGUUUCUGACUUCAAGUACUGGAAUUACUUGAAUGUGUGUGCCAGAACACCUGGCUGAUGUACUUGAUCUCUUUGGAGGCCCCUGUGCUCAGAAAUCUAUUGGUGAAAUCUGCCUGAGCCUUGGGUAAGAGAGAAACAUAGGGACAGGAAAAGGGCAAUCAGAGCAAAGGAAACCUGGCCAAAUCCCAAGAGGCAGAUAGCUGUAGGCAGAAUCUUGCUGUGAGGGCUCUUCCUACACGAAUCAGUGAGGGCCUGAGUUUCAGAUACAGUGUGUUCCAGAAGUACAGAUCCACUUGGCAAGGAUGUAUUUACUGACCACUACUCUACCCAGCACUGUGCUAAAGAUGCUGGCACUAAAUGGUCAUUUGUUGAAGGAGUUAAUGUUCUGAUAGAAAUGUCUAACACCAACAGAUUCACUCAAUCAAAAUUAUUUUUAUACUGUAAAUAUGUAAAUAUACAUACAAUUCAUACAUAAGUGCUAUUACUCCAAAUACAGAAGUCUUCAGAGGAAAGACUUCCUGGACGAAGAAGGUAAUACUUGGGAGUAGUAUUGAAAAGAAAAAUUGUUUGCUUAGUUGAAUGGUAAAUAAACAAAAGUCUUGAAAUGCUUGUUAAGAUAUUAUAAAUA